AGAGUAAGCCGUCUUAUCGCCGUGAGUAAUCAAGGAGGAAAGUCCGGGCAGCGUAGAGCAGUGUACUUCCUAACGGGAAGGCUUUCCUGAGUAAUCGGGAAAGACAGAAAGUGCCACAGAAAACAAACUACCUCUGAUCAUAUCGGAGGAAAAGGUGAAAAGGCGAGGUAAGAGCUCACCGGCUUGGUAGUGAUACUGAGUGCAUGGUAAACCUUACACGCUGAAAGGUCAAAUAGGCCACGUUCUCUUCGGAGGUUUGCGGCUCGUGAAUUGUUCCGGCUAGCUGGAACAGGCGUGGCGGGUAGACUGAUUGAUCCCAUUAGUGAUGAUGGGGCUAGAUAAAUGAUAAGAGUCCUUCGAGCAAUCGCAGGAAACAGAACCCGGCUUAUAGGCUUACUAUUUUU
This 404-nucleotide RNase P RNA is filed under the name Pseudochryseolinea flava. RNAcentral describes it as "Bacterial RNase P class A". It matches the Rfam family "Bacterial RNase P class A". Rfam says of the family: Ribonuclease P (RNase P) is a ubiquitous endoribonuclease, found in archaea, bacteria and eukarya as well as chloroplasts and mitochondria. The record is from Rfam by way of RNAcentral. Lineage: Bacteria; Pseudomonadati; Bacteroidota; Cytophagia; Cytophagales; Fulvivirgaceae.